This 333-nucleotide ribosomal RNA is filed under the name uncultured Streptococcus sp. RNAcentral's name for it is "bacterial SSU rRNA". It matches the Rfam family "Bacterial small subunit ribosomal RNA", at positions 1045 to 1382 of the family's 1533-position model. Lineage: Bacteria; Bacillati; Bacillota; Bacilli; Lactobacillales; Streptococcaceae. The record is from RNAcentral.
AUGGUUGUUCGUCUAGCUCGUGUCGUGAGAUGUGGUUAAGUCCGCACGAGCGCAACCCUAUUGUUAGUUGCCAUCAUUCAGUUGGGCACUCUAGCGAGACUGCCGGUAAUAAACCGGAGGAAGGUGGGGAUGACGUCAAAUCAUCAUGCCCCUUAUGACCUGGGCUACACACGUGCUACAAUGGUUGGUACAACGAGUUGCGAGUCGGUGACGGCGAGCUAAUCUCUUAAAGCCAAUCUCAGUUCGGAUUGUAGGCUGCAACUCGCCUACAUGAAGUCGGAAUCGCUAGUAAUCGCGGAUCAGCACGCCGCGGUGAAUACGUUCCCGGGCCUU